Molecule: ribosomal RNA, 792 nt
Filed under: uncultured bacterium
Lineage: Bacteria
Description: bacterial SSU rRNA
Rfam family: Bacterial small subunit ribosomal RNA
Source: RNAcentral
UCGAGGGGCAGCACGAUGUAGCAAUACAUUGGUGGCGACCGGCGCACGGGUGAGUAACGCGUAUGCAACCUACCUAUCAGAGGGGAAUAACCCGGCGAAAGUCGGACUAAUACCGCAUAAAACAGGGGUUCCACAUGGAAAUAUUUGUUAAAGAAUUAUCGCUGAUAGAUGGGCAUGCGUUCCAUUAGAUAGUUGGUGAGGUAACGGCUCACCAAGUCCACGAUGGAUAGGGGUUCUGAGAGGAAGGUCCCCCACACUGGUACUGAGACACGGACCAGACUCCUACGGGAGGCAGCAGUGAGGAAUAUUGGUCAAUGGGCGCGAGCCUGAACCAGCCAAGUCGCGUGAAGGAUGAAGGAUCUAUGGUUUGUAAACUUCUUUUAUAUGGGAAUAAAGUGAGGAACGCGUUCCUUUUUGUAUGUACCAUAUGAAUAAGCAUCGGCUAACUCCGUGCCAGCAGCCGCGGUAAUACGGAGGACGCGAGCGUUAUCCGGAUUUAUUGGGUUUAAAGGGUGCGUAGGUGGUUAAUUAAGUCAGCGGUGAAAGUUUGUGGCUCAACCAUAAAAUUGCCGUUGAAACUGGUUGACUUGAGUAUAUCUGAGGUAGGCGGAAUGCGUGGUGUAGCGGUGAAAUGCAUAGAUAUCACGCAGAACUCCGAUUGCGAAGGCAGCUUACUAAACUAUAACUGACACUGAAGCACGAAAGCGUGGGGAUCAAACAGGAUUAGAUACCCUGGUAGUCCACGCAGUAAACGAUGAUUACUAGCUGUUUGCGAUACACAGUAAGCGGCAC